CCUACGGGCGGCAGCAGUGAGGAAUAUUGGUCAAUGGGCGUAAGCCUGAACCAGCCAAGUCGCGUGAGGGAUGAAGGUUCUAUGGAUCGUAAACCUCUUUUAUAAGGGAAUAAAGUGCGGGACGUGUCCCGGUUUGUAUGUACCUUAUGAAUAAGGAUCGGCUAACUCCGGGCCAGCAGCCGCGGUAAGACGGAGGAUCCGAGCGUUAUCCGGAUUUAGGGGGUUUAAAGGGUGCGUAGGCGGCCUUGUAAGUCAGCGGGGAAAGUCUGUGGCUCAACCAUCGGAUUGCCGUUGAAACUGGGAGGCUUGAUUAUGUUUGCGGCAGGCGGCAUGCGUGGUGUAGCGGU
This 347-nucleotide ribosomal RNA is filed under the name uncultured bacterium. RNAcentral describes it as "partial 16S ribosomal RNA". It matches the Rfam family "Bacterial small subunit ribosomal RNA", at positions 338 to 682 of the family's 1533-position model. The record is from RNAcentral.